UACGUAGGGUGCGAGCGUUGUUCGGAAUCACUGGGCUUAAAGCGUGCGUAGGCGGAUAGGAAAGUCAGAAGUGAAAUCCCGGGGCUCAACCUCGGAACUGCUUUUGAAACUUCUUGUCUAGAAUCCGACAGAGGUUAACGGAAUUCCGAGUGUAGAGGUGAAAUUCGCAGAUAUUCGGAGGAACACCAGUGGCGAAGGCGGUUAACUGGGUCGAUACUGACGCUGAGGUGCGAAAGCGUGGGGAGCAAACAGG
This 253-nucleotide unclassified non-coding RNA is filed under the name uncultured Alphaproteobacteria bacterium. Its description in RNAcentral is "contains 16S-23S intergenic spacer region". It matches the Rfam family "Bacterial small subunit ribosomal RNA", at positions 524 to 776 of the family's 1533-position model. The record is from RNAcentral. Lineage: Bacteria; Pseudomonadati; Pseudomonadota; Alphaproteobacteria.